AUAGGGGUGGAUUCCUGAAAUGGGUCCACCCCGAAAGUAGGUGGGGGAAUGGCCCCACUGAGGCCUUAGGAUGGGACCGUGGCCCAUCAGGUAGUAGGUGGGGUAACGGCCCACCUAGCCUAAGACGGGUGCGGGCGGUGGGAGCCGGAGCCCGGAGAUGGGCACUGAGACAAGGGCCUAGGCCCUACGGGGCGCAGCAGGCGCGAAACUUCCCCAAUGCGCGGAAGCGCGAGGGAGCGAGCCCGAGUGCCGUCCGCUGAGGGCGGCUGUUCCCGGGUGUAAAGAGCCCGGGGUAGGAAGGGGAGGGUAAGGCUGGUGCCAGCCGCCGCGGUAAAACCAGCUCCUCGAGGGGUCCCCACGCAUACUGGGCCUAAAGCGUCCGUAGCCGGCCCCGUAAGUCCCCGGUUAAAUCCACCGGAAGACCGGUGGGCUGCUGGGGAUACUGCGGGGCUAGGGAGCGGGAGGGGCCGAGGGUAUUCCGGGGGAUAGCGGUAAAAUGCGUAGAUCCCCGGAGGACCACCAGUGGCGAAGGCGCUCGGCUGGAACGCGUCCGACGGUGAGGGACGAAAGCUGGGGGAGCAAACCGGAUUAGAUACCCGGGUAGUCCCAGCCGUAAACGAUGCCGGCUAGGUGCCGGCCGGGGUUUCGGCCUCGGCCGGUGUCGAAGCGAAG
Molecule: ribosomal RNA, 672 nt
Filed under: uncultured archaeon
Lineage: Archaea
Description: bacterial SSU rRNA
Rfam family: Archaeal small subunit ribosomal RNA
Source: RNAcentral